RNAcentral lists this long non-coding RNA (2103 nucleotides) under Struthio camelus australis. RNAcentral's name for it is "lncRNA (ENSSCUG00000016035.1)". Lineage: Eukaryota; Metazoa; Chordata; Aves; Struthioniformes; Struthionidae. The record is from RNAcentral.
ACGAGGGCGGUGGCAGCCCGAGCAGGCGUGGGGCAGCCCUGCCCUGCAUGGAGGAGCCCCAUGGCACGGGGCAGGCUGUGUCCGUGGCCUGGGCGGACGGCCCCGGCGCACGGGAUCGACAUCCGGACGGGGAGCGAGAGGGCAGCAAGGCUCCCCCCAGUAAAACGGAGUUUCAGAUGAUGGAGGGGACGCUGGAGAGGAAGCACGUUCUGCAGACAGGAGGUAGAAAGGCGACCUGCCGCGCCUGGAGCCUGUUCCACGCGGUGCUGAUGAGGCAGACGCUGUGCUUCUAUCAGGACCGGAGGGACAGCCUCAAGAGCUCUGUGGUGGCCCUUCCCCUGAACCUCUCCGGGGCGAUCUGCACCCCUGACACAGAGUACACCAAAAAGACCAACUGCUUCAGACUACAGCUACGGGAUGGCUCUGAGUAUCUUCUGAGGGCCCCAUCCCAGCUGCUCAUGAAUGAGUGGGUCUCCAAGCUGCAGCAGAACUCAGGUUUCCCCGAAGUGGAUUACUUCCAGGCAGCAGCACAGAGUGUCGAGGGCGCCAGCUCUGCUGUGGGUUUCAGCAAGGUCCCUGGGCCUGGAAGCUGCCAACUCCAGGGACACCCUCAGGCUGUGACUGCCAAGAACCAAGAGGUCGUGGUGCUACCCUGCUCAAAUACCAGGCUGCAGCUGCCUUUCGGGAGCCAGGAUGGCCCAGUGGACGUGGCAGCGUCCUCAGCAGAGGGUGUUCGUGGAGCUGCCAGUCACUCAGCCGGGCACAGGGAGCACCAGUGGUCACCCAGUGGGUCCCCUGGGUCAUGGGACAACAGCUGCCCAGAUGACGACUAUGGGUUGGUGGCUAACAAGAGGAGGUCCUACUCAUUCACCUCAGCCACCUACCAGAAGAUCACGCCCGUGGCGGUGCCCAAGGAGCCCAUGGAGGCCGGGAGCAGGUACUCCGUCACGGCGGAACACGCCCCGCCCGCCCCCGGGACGCGCUGCCACUCAUUUGUGGCCAGGCCGGGGAGCCCGCGGGAGGUGCUGGGGGAGAAGACCCAGGGCCCCCCUCGCCCCAAGAACAAAUCUGUCUUCAAGAAGUUCUUUGGGAAGAAGGAGUGAGCCCCAGACGAGGGGGAGAAAAGCAAAAGCCUGCCCCUUUUCCUCCUCUCAGGCCUGCUUCAGGUGCAACCUUAUUAAGGUCUCUCUUCCCAGCACCAGCCCUCACUGCUCACUGUCGCCUUGGGGCGCUCAGCACCACGAGGGGGAGAGACGCUGCAGCAAGCGGCUCUGCUUCAGCACAGUCCCAGGGGCUGCACCUCACCCCCAGCCACCGCCGCUGCCUUCCUCAGCCAGGCGAUGAGACCCCCGUCUGNNNNNNNNNNNNNNNNNNNNNNNNNNNNNNNNNNNNNNNNNNNNNNNNNNNNNNNNNNNCCUGCCGCCGGUUCAGCUGGAUUCCCCAGGCAUCCCACCUACACGCAGCACAAGCAGGGUUGGGGGUGGGUGUUGUUAUUUUUAUUAAAAAACAAACAAACGCUUAAUCUGGGAGCGUCUUCCUCCAGCAUUGCCACUGCUGGGGGCCAGUGCCUGCACUGCCAACAGAGAAGGAGGGGGCUUUGCAAGGUGGCCAUUGCUAAGGGGGGUUGGUGGUAGCUUCAACCGCCAAGAGGGGCUCCCCCAGACUGGGUUCAAUCCUGCACAGGGAUGCGGUCUGAGGCGCCUGGCCUUUCUCACAAGGAAGCUUUGUCCUGUGGUUUCCCUGUGCUUGCAUCUAGCUCAGCUAAUCCCACGUGGCGUCUGGGCCCCUUUUCCCUGCCCUGGGAGCUCAGUGGACCAGGGGGAAGUCACUACCUGGAGAGCAAAUCCUGCCUGCGGAGCCCAGGGUCCACGCAGCCCUGCCUGGCAUGCUCAGGGUAGAGGCAGCUCCCAUCUUUUCCUUCCUCGCUCGCAGGCUGGCCCUGGCCCAAGUCACCGCAUCGGUGGUAUGUGGCUUGGAGGUGGCCAGGGUAGUUUGGCUGGACCCAGGGAUCCCCGAUAUUUUGCAAUAGCUUCUCUUAGGUUAUACCGGCAUCAGCCACUCCAGUUCCUGUCCGUGCUGGGAAGGGGAAAUAGCGGCUUGCCC